GACGAACCACCCAAACGUUAUUCGGAAUUACUGGGCUUAAAGAGUGCGUAGGCGGCCUUGUAAGUAGGGUGUGAAAUCCCACAGCUCAACUGUGGAACUGCGCUCUAAACUACAUGGCUAGAGGGAUAUAGAGGUGAGCGGAACUGAUGGUGGAGCGGUGAAAUGCGUUGAUAUCAUCAGGAACACCGGAGGCGAAGGCGGCUCACUGGGUAUCUUCUGACGCUGAGGUACGAAAGCUAGGGGAGCGAACGGGAUUAGAAACCCCCGUAGUCC
This 273-nucleotide ribosomal RNA is filed under the name uncultured bacterium. Its description in RNAcentral is "partial 16S ribosomal RNA". It matches the Rfam family "Bacterial small subunit ribosomal RNA", at positions 524 to 796 of the family's 1533-position model. The record is from RNAcentral.